UACAGGGGGGGCAAGCGUUGUUCGGAAUUACUGGGCGUAAAGGGUUCGUAGGUGGCCACUUAAGUCAGACGUGAAAUCCCUCAGCUUAACUGGGGAACUGCGUCUGAUACUGAGUGGCUUGAGUGCAGGAGAGGAAUGCGGAAUUCCAGGUGUAGCGGUGAAAUUCGUAGAUAUCAAGCGGAACACCGGUGGCGAAGGCGGCCUUCUGGACAGUGACUGACGCUGAGACGCGAAAGCGUGGGGAGCAAACAGG
Molecule: ribosomal RNA, 253 nt
Filed under: uncultured bacterium
Lineage: Bacteria
Description: partial 16S ribosomal RNA
Rfam family: Bacterial small subunit ribosomal RNA
Source: RNAcentral